This 789-nucleotide long non-coding RNA is filed under the name Homo sapiens (human). RNAcentral describes it as "long non-coding RNA NONHSAT139047.2". The record is from RNAcentral. Lineage: Eukaryota; Metazoa; Chordata; Mammalia; Primates; Hominidae.
GGUUCACGGCAAGGGUGGAACCGGAUUCUGCCCGGAUGGGGAUCUGGAUGGGGGGGUGGGGGGUUGAUUUGGGAAGCAGAGCACAGCAGCCCAAAUUUGCUUGUAAUGUCGGCGGCUACAGAGGAAAGGCCAAGAAUGGACAGAUUAAUAAAGGGCCAUCUACAAGCCACGAAUAAGGCCAUCACCAGAAGCCAACCCCGCCAGUCCUUGAUCUAGGACUUCCAGACUUCAAAACUUUUCUAGCCUGCUGGCCUGCCUUCACUGUCCUGGGGGAGGCUUGGAGAGACCAGGUGGACUGGAGUAGACUGUUGAGAGACGCUGGUCUGGUGAAGAUGUCCAGGAAACCACGAGCCUCCAGCCCAUUGUCCAACAACCACCCACCAACACCAAAGAGGCGAGGAAGUGGAAGGUUCCCAAGACAACCCGGAAGGGAAAAGGGACCCAUCAAGGAAGUUCCAGGAACAAAAGGCUCUCCCUAAAAGACCGCCGCUUCAAAAAAACCUGAGGAAUGGAGUGGGCCAACACUAUCCAGCCACUCUGACCAGCCGAACGAGGAACUCAAUCAAAAUGAGCCAUAGCGGGACCACAAGGGCAAGGAGACCACCACCUUCUCCAGUCUCUCUUCGGACAGCCAGUAAUUCCCGGGCAAGGCCAGAGACUUCAAGUCUAUCUGAAAAGUCUCCAGAGGUCUAACCCCAGAUAAAUAGCCAACAGGGUGUAGAGUACAUUUUACACCCCAAAGAGUGUGCCCCAUGGUGAUGAAAAUAAAGUGAACAUGUUGCAAAAUGA